AAGUUCUCUCUCCUCUCACCAGCGGCCUCGAUCUGGGAUCGACAGGGACGCCGCCGCCGCCGCCGCGGAUCCCACAGCGCCACCUCGCCACCGCUGGUCGCCAUGGCGCGGUGUCACCCCGCCGCCACCUCAGCCAAGCACCGCGCCGCCCCUCCAAACCCUAGCCCGCCCCCUCCGCCCGUCGACGGAUCGCUUCCACUCCUCCACGCGGCGAGCCGCGGCGACCUCCGCCUCUUCAAGAGGCUGGUGAGAGAUCUGAAUCAGGGCAGAGGCCGUCCCAGGGAGGUCGUGGAGGCGGCCAAGGACCAAGGUCUCGUGGCGCUGCACUUCGCUGCCGGGAAGGGAAGGCCACGGGUGUGCGGGUACCUGGUCGAGGAGCUAGGGGUUGAUGUGGACGCCGUCGACGAUGGAGAAUUGGGCUAUAGGAAACUAUAUGUUGACCAGGAAUUUACAACCGUCAUGCUAUGUGGAUCUCGGCGGCGGCGGCGGCGGCUCCUCCCUCUACCCGCCCGCCGCGCUACCACCUCAUCUCGCGCUCCUGACAUGCCGAGGGGGCGAGAGGAGUAAGAAAGCAGGGACGAGUGCGCAGAGGAGAAAGAUGCUUGCCGCGAAGCUACCAAGCGGGAAGACAGAUGAGGAGCGACACUUGCGGAGGCGGCCGAGAUCGGGUACUACAUCUUAGAUCUUCACCGUCGUCUAGGUUAGGCCUCCUCAGAUGCCCUGAUCCUCCAUCAUCAGAUGAAAAAGAUCCAGUUCUUUGGCGACAUGCAAAGCUGCCGGUGGUUGUUUGAUCAAUUGUGUGAGGUAUCUCACAUGGCACCUGAAUGCGUAUUAAUGGUGUCAAUCUGUAUCUACAUGUCGUGUGGUUCAAAAGCCAAAAAGGAGCAGCAGGAUGGCCGGUCCAAGCUUGAGCAGAUUCUGUGUUGGGGUUCGAUGCUGAAAUUCAUUAGAUUUCAGUUCUGUAUAGUUUCAGGUGACUGAAUCCCGCCGAGUAUUAUUAGGCGGAGGAAGGAACAGAAACAGGGCACGCCACUCUGCAUUUUUGGUCUCGCCAAAACGACUUCAGUAUCAGCCAGGGGGCUGUGCAUCACUGGGAAUUUUCCAUUUGGAAGGUCCAAUUCCUAACCAUGAUGCUAUAUGAACCGCAACCUGGAACAGUGAAUCCUGAUCGCGAAUGUGCCCGCGGCGCAAGAGAGGAGGGGGCAUCAGCUUGAGUACAGCCAAGUGGCGGGACAGACAGGCGCGAUGGCAAUGGCAAUGGAAUUGGCCGACAAAUUGCUACUGGUGCUCCAGAGUUACUCGCUGCCAGUUUGGGCCAUGAUAAUCUCGGGGCUCUUCGUCGCCGUAUCACUCUCGCUGUCCAUCUACUUGCUCUUGAACCACCUCUCGGCCUACAAGAACCCAGAGGAGCAGAAGUUCCUCGUCGGCGUCGUUCUGAUGGUGCCGAUAUACGCAAUCGAGUCGGUAAGGUGGCUAUGCCAUGUCUUGUUCAAGUGCGCGGUCACAAUGUUGUUGGCUAGGAGAGGUCGAUCCAGCCGUUAACUCUUGGCGUGGACCAGUAGGUUCAAUUUCAGCUUUUAUGUAAUCUUUGUGUUGAUUUCUUUUGAAUUGCAAAAUCAUUUGCUGAUACUUUUCUCCCCUUUCAGUCAUAAAAUGUAAGGUGACCUUCCACAUUUAGUCCGAUAUUUUGUUCAUACCUUGAUUUUACUUUCGAACCGCCUUUUCUUUUAAGAUUAUCAAAUGAUAUCUUUAACUAUUUUAUAAGGUACAGUUUCAAAUUUAGUCUGAGAUUUUUUUUAUCGUACUUUGAGUUUAGUUAUGUGUUAUAAUUGAUAUAGUUCUUAGCUAAUUUGACAAACAAUGAUGGCUCCAAUGCCUAUGUCGCUUCUUUGCUACAAAAUGUAAAAUGUGAUUUAUCUUUUGCCGAUCUUCGUCAAAGUGUUUUUGUUUAUACAUUGCAGGACCCCAUAAGCCAAUAGUAUUAGGUUUAGAUGGCUUUCCAGGGAUUGAAGUGGUUGGAGCUGCAGGCCGAACUCAAAUUAUUUGUUUUUUCAGUACCAUUUGUUAAUUCAAUUGCAAACAUUGUGCUAAUAGGUAAAGCUUCUGUUAUUUACACCUUUUUUAUUUAACAAAAUUGAAUGUACAAUUAGGCGUUUAAGUAAGUUUUCUUUGUGUAGAUACACCAUCUAGCCUUACUCACGCCCAACUCUUUUUAUCAUUCACUUCCAACUAUAUUUUUCACUUUGUGUAGAUAAAGACAUGUCCCAAUCUUCUUGGUCUACUCACGUAUGGAGGCGAUCUGAAUUAAAGGAAGAACUCUAUGUUGUCUGCUUGAAUCAAUUGUUCAUCUCUACAUUAACGAAUAGGAUCUUCACUAAGAUAUAUCGAGCAGAGCUCAUCACAACAUCCUGUGACGUUCUCAACCAUGUUAUCCUUCACGAUAAACAUAUUUUGAGGGAGACAAGAGAGCAUCCAAGCACGACCAUGUUGAACUUGAUGUCUUGCUGCAGUACAAGCGGCUGUUGUCCCUUGAUCCAGGUAUGAUUUCUGAAGAUUAUUUCACUAAUUAGCUAUACCCAGUGACCAGUGUAGAUCUGGCACGUCCACUUCUAAAUGAACAAGAUAUUUCAAGGUGAUGCAUCGUGUCGUGGUCGUUGUCUGUGCUAUCCGUCUUCCUCAUUUGUGCUAAUUUGAUUACUCUUUUUUGAAGGCAGUGCAUCGUCGGGUUUCUCAUAACAUGUUGGUAGAUUUUAUUUAUUGUCUUCUUAAGAAAUAGAUCGACCCAAAACAUUGUUCAUAUUUACAGGUUGAUUAUUUUCGUAGAUUUAUAAUCCAAAUACAUGACCCACUACAAGAUUACGAGCUUGGAGUCGUCCAUUUUGUUUAGGAGGGCAGAUUUGGUACUAAACACUUAAUUGGCGUUGAUAGACUUGUACUGUGAAAAAUAAUGGUAAUAUGAACAGACUGAUAGUGGUACACAUAGGGUGACAAGGAGUUAUUAUUUUCAUUCCUAUAUGCAACUUUUCUGGCACUAACCAAUAGCAUUGUGCUGCCAGAACACCGUAUGCUUAGUACUGAUUAAAUUUUAUUAUCAGCAAGUCAUAUGCCUUGGUUUGGUGGUGCACACCGCAAGAGCUCCUUAAAUUUAGGGACCCAUCAAGCCACAGUUUCAUGGUUCUCAAGAACAUUUAUCUCGAGAAAAUUCCAAAUAUUUUGGUACCAAAUUUGUCUUUUCGUCAUCCCAUUUUUCUGAUGUAAGUUGGAUGACCUUCAUUCAGUUAGAAGUAUAAGAACCGCAACAGCUGCUGAAGGGUUUGAUUAAGUUAGAAAAAAACUUCCACAAAAUCUUGUCACCAAUAAAAUUUACCUAUAAAGGAAUCAUUUUAGAAAAUAGAUACAAGAUCCUUAUCAGUUUGAGAUGUUCAACUCCCAACUUGUCUUCUUUGUUCUGUUCUGUGCAAGUGUAUCUUGUUGAUUAUGUGGAUGGUGUACUUGUACAUACUAAAAUUGCGGGCAAAACAAAGUGAUGGAUGGUCUACAAGAUGAUAUUAAUGAAUUAAUCUUUAGGGUAAAAUAAUCUAACCAACAUGCAUCUGUUUAGUUUGAAAUAAUAUUGCCUUCAAAAUGUAUGAAUGCAGUCUUCGCAUCUAAUGUUGUAGAAUCAAACAUUGAUGUUGCCUUACUAAGCAUGUGUGUAAAUUCUCUUGGGGAGAAAAAAUAUUCACUUGCAAUUUGCAACAUUG
Non-coding RNA from Triticum urartu, 3743 nucleotides. The record is from RefSeq and is a predicted model, not a curated record. NCBI's taxonomy places the organism in Eukaryota, Viridiplantae, Streptophyta, Magnoliopsida, Poales, Poaceae.